RNAcentral lists this unclassified non-coding RNA (402 nucleotides) under fungal sp. Its description in RNAcentral is "partial internal transcribed spacer region". The stretch from base 1 to 46 matches the Rfam family "Eukaryotic small subunit ribosomal RNA", at positions 1786 to 1831 of the family's 1831-position model. The record is from RNAcentral. Lineage: Eukaryota; Fungi.
AAGUCGUAACAAGGUUUCCGUAGGUGAACCUGCGGAAGGAUCAUUAACACGUAUCCAACGUUAAACAACCCUGUGAACCUUGAACGUGCUCCUGCAGCCCCAUGAAAUCAGCAAUCCCUGGUAAAUCAUUGUUGACCAGCUUUUGAGUCAGGGACCUCUGCCGAAACGGCUGUUCAGUACCGAGCGCGGUGUAAGCGACCUGGCAUCCCCAAGCGAUCAGUGUCUGAAAGUGUCAUUGAUUGUGUAAGGAUGGCGCAGUAACGAUCGCUAGAGGCCGACACGGCCGGCGACCGGACCGCCGGGCUAUACGCUCCUUUAUCACCUUUGCAUGAAAACGGGCCUGCGCUUAAUUGUGCGGCCACAAAAACCGAACAACUGUUAACAAUGGAUAUCUUGGUUCUC